UAAGGCAGCACUUGAAAGUACACUGGAGAGGAUACUUUUCAGCUAUCAGCCACAAAUCCUUAGGUGGAAAAGAGGAUUCACUCUCUUUUUGUUUUGUUCCACUCCACCGUUUCAUCCUCCCUCAUCAUCCCCCUACUCCUCAUUUCUAUGUUUUGGUUUUUCUUCUUUUUUUUCUUGUUCUUGAGAUGUAUGGAGUAAUACUUGAGAAGGUCCUAAAUGCUUUUGCAACUGCCUGGGCUCACGUACUGGGAAAAGUCAGGGCAGGGGCCAUGGAGCUUCAAAGCUGGCUUGAUCAUUCCUCAACCUCCCUCUGCUGAUGGAGAGAAGAAGAAGAAGAAGAAGAAGAAGAAGAAGAAGAAGAAGAAGAAGAAGAAGAAUGGGGGAGGGGUGAUGCAAACAGAUGGACAAACAAAACCCGGGGAAGUCAAAACUGAAGCAGAUGUGGGGAAAGCAGCAGACAGAUGGGCAGACGUGUAGCAGCUGCUGGACACCACCUGUGGCUGCUCCAUCCCAGGGGCCUGCUGUGGCACCAAAUAGUCCCUCUGGGAUCCUGGGGAUCCCAAAAUGGUGGAGCAAAUGCUGAACCACUCCCAGAAUGGACAAACCUGCACCUUUGGUGUUUAUGUUAAAAGACAUAUGUCUAUCCACUUCUUCAUUUUCUCCCACACAAAUGCCCCAUGCCCUGCAGGAACAGAAGAAGCUGGCGGUGCAUUACGAAAGACAGAAACUCCAUAAACGGACAAGCAGCACUGUUACUCUCGAGAUCUUCAGUGGGUUUAAAAAGACCCGCACAUUUGUUGCCGUCAUUACGAGCUUCGGAAUAAUAAACCCAGAGAUGAUGAUCCUUUCGUUUGUCGCAGUUUUCUCCAUGUGAUUGCAGAUCAGUCAGUUUAUUUUUUAAAUUUUUUAUAGAAUUUACUUUGUUUACGCUCUGUCAAUGUGGAUAUAUUUAAACAUAACGCAUCUUUCUCCCGGGUUUUAAAUCGCUGUCUUUUGAUUACUGCUGCUCUCAUUAGCCCAGGUUUCAUCCAGUUAACAGAGAGGCAAACUAAAUAACGUUUAGUUGUGUUUACUUGUAAUUGGUGAUUUAGAAAAAGAACAGAGAUCUGAAAAUUAUAAUGCUGUAAUGUUCAGCUGAUAUUUGAUUUCCUGUUGUUAAAAAAAAAAACAUCACUUGGGUUGGCCCAUCAUCUUUUUAUUAAAUGAUUACGUCAUAACUUCUAGGGAGAUAAAAAAACAAAACAAAACAAGCAAGAGGCGCAUGUUCAACAUUCAUCUCACGACAAGACUGAAACGAAGCAUUCAGUGCAUCACAUUUCUGUUGACUUCACAUGUGUUUUGCAGCACGAUAUUCCAUUUCAGCUUAUCAUUUGUUGUUCCUCCGGUGCUGAAAUGGCAGACAGGUUUUGGGGGUGUAUGUGUUUGUAAUUUGGAAGUCCAUGGCGGAGGUUAUUGGUGUCACAUCCCACAAUGCACUGCUGAAUUCCUUUAACAUGUGGUUAGUCAGGAAAGGGGCGGUUGACCUAUGCCUUCCCACGAGCCCCUUGGGAACAGCUUUGCGAGGUUUCUCCAGAAGUCUAGGAUCAGCGCGCAGGCUGCUGCGCUGGUUUGUGACUGGAAUUGUAAUCAUGUGAUUUUCCUGAACGCUUCUUCGUUUUUUUUGGGGUUUUUUUUGUCUUUUUUUGGGGGAAUUUUUUUUCUCCUUCUUUCACAGCCAUUCAGUAUCUUAUUUGUACCUCCUUUCCCCCUCCCCUCCUCUGAUCUGUGUCUGUUUUUGUCUUCUCGGUGUUUAACAGGAGACUAACCCUGCACAUGCAAUCCAUUACGCUUGGAGGAAAAAAGGAGAAAGUACAGGAAACCGAGGGUGAAACGUGUUGCUCUCCUCUCCCUCAUUUCCUGUUUAAACAGAUUUCUUCUCUCUACGCCUUCUAAAAGUCUGACUAACUAUAUUUUUACAGUCACUAUAUUUCUCACUACAUUAUGUAAUAAAAUCAAAUUGAACAAUAAAAUGAAUGAAUGACUUUUUUUCUUUUAUAAUUAUUAUUAUUUCUGUUGACUUUGCUGAGCCAAGACUUUGUUGAAAAAUGACAAAACUGGUGUAAGAGUGACAGGAAUGUAUCCAAUAUUAUUUCUACAUGUACAUUUGUUCAAUUGUUUGUUAACACAAAUAGAGAAUAGGCCAAUUCACUAAAUUGCUCACUAACUAGAGCAAGUUAGUGAGGCUAACUUCUUGAACCUGAUAUUGAGCUCUCUGUGCUAACGGCCUCUUCAGCCACCACAUCUCAAUGACAAAGAUGCUAGG
This is a long non-coding RNA of Poecilia latipinna (sailfin molly), 2302 nucleotides long. RefSeq lists it as uncharacterized. The record is from RefSeq and is a predicted model, not a curated record. Lineage: Eukaryota; Metazoa; Chordata; Actinopteri; Cyprinodontiformes; Poeciliidae. The transcript is spliced from 3 exons.